This 447-nucleotide ribosomal RNA is filed under the name uncultured bacterium. RNAcentral's name for it is "bacterial SSU rRNA". It matches the Rfam family "Bacterial small subunit ribosomal RNA", at positions 355 to 825 of the family's 1533-position model. The record is from RNAcentral.
UGGGGAAUAUUGGACAAUGGGGGCAACCCUGAUCCAGCCAUGCCGCGUGUGUGAAGAAGGCCUUAGGGUUGUAAAACACUUUCAGCGGGGAAGAUGAUGACGGUACCCGCAGAAGAAGCCCCGGCUAACUCCGUGCCAGCAGCCGCGGUAAUACGGAGGGGGCUAGCGUUGUUCGGAAUUACUGGGCGUAAAGGGCGUGUAGGCGGCCUGCCAAGUCAGAUGUGAAAGCCCCGGGCUUAACCUGGGAACUGCAUUUGAGACUGGCCGGCUAGAGGUUGGAAGAGGAGAGUGGAAUUCCCAGUGUAGAGGUGAAAUUCGUAGAUAUUGGGAAGAACACCAGUGGCGAAGGCGGCUCUCUGGUCCACACCUGACGCUGAGGCGCGAAAGCGUGGGGAGCAAACAGGAUUAGAUACCCAAGUAGUCCCUGAGCGGGCUGGCAAGGCGCAU